This 396-nucleotide ribosomal RNA is filed under the name uncultured bacterium. RNAcentral's name for it is "partial 16S ribosomal RNA". It matches the Rfam family "Bacterial small subunit ribosomal RNA", at positions 523 to 918 of the family's 1533-position model. The record is from RNAcentral.
AUACGUAGGUGGCAAGCGUUGUCCGGAAUUAUUGGGCGUAAAGCGCAUGUAGGCGGUGCCUUAAGUCUGUCGUGAAACUGCGGGGCUUACCCCCGUAUGGCGAUGGAAACUGUGGCACUUGAGUGCAGGAGAGGAAAGGGGGACUCCCAGUGUAGCGGUGAAAAGCGUAGAUAUUGGGAAGAACACCGGUGGCGAAGGCGGCUUUCUGGACUGUGUCUGACGCUGAGAUGCGAAAGCCAGGGUAGCGAACGGGAUUAGAUACCCCGGUAGUCCUGGCCGUAAACGAUGGGUACUAGGUGUGGGAGGUAUCGACCCCUUCCGUGCCGGAGUUAACGCAAUAAGUACCCCGCCUGGGGAGUACGGCCGCAAGGCUUAAACUCAAAUGAAUUGACGGGG